UACGGAGGUGGCUAGCGUUGUUCGGAAUUACUGGGCGUAAAGGGCGCGUAGGCGGCUUUGCAAGUCAGAUGUGAAAGCCCCGGGCUUAACUCGGGAACUGCAUCUGAAACUGCUUAGCUUGAGUCCUGGAGGGGGUAGUGGAAUUCCCAGUGUAGCGGUGAAAUGCGUAGAUAUUGGGAGGAACACCUGCGGCGAAGGCGGCUACCUGGACAGUGACUGACGCUGAGGCGCGAAAGCUAGGGGAGCGAACGGGAUUAGAUACCCCGGUAGUCCUAGCCGUAAACGAUGGGCACUUGGUGUUGGGGGUAUUGAGUCCCUCGGUGCCGGAGUUAACACGUUAAGUGCCCCGCCUGGGGAGUACGGUCGCAAGACUGAA
RNAcentral lists this ribosomal RNA (376 nucleotides) under uncultured bacterium. RNAcentral's name for it is "bacterial SSU rRNA". It matches the Rfam family "Bacterial small subunit ribosomal RNA", at positions 524 to 898 of the family's 1533-position model. The record is from RNAcentral.